UAGCCGGGUAGCUCAAUUGGCAGAGCACCCGACCGAUAAUCGGGUGGUUGAAGGUUCAAGUCCUUCUCUGGCUACCAG
RNAcentral lists this transfer RNA (78 nucleotides) under Pseudomonas phage C11. RNAcentral describes it as "tRNA-Ile". It matches the Rfam family "tRNA". Rfam says of the family: Transfer RNA (tRNA) molecules are approximately 80 nucleotides in length. The record is from RNAcentral. Lineage: Duplodnaviria; Heunggongvirae; Uroviricota; Caudoviricetes; Vandenendeviridae.